RNAcentral lists this ribosomal RNA (229 nucleotides) under uncultured bacterium. RNAcentral's name for it is "partial 16S ribosomal RNA". It matches the Rfam family "Bacterial small subunit ribosomal RNA", at positions 568 to 796 of the family's 1533-position model. The record is from RNAcentral.
UACGUAGGCGGAAAAUUAAGUCAGUAGUGAAAUCCUGCAGCUUAACUGUAGAACUGUUAUUGAUACUGGUUUUCUUGAAUAUAGUUGAGGUAGGCGGAAUGCGUAAUGUAGCGGUGAAAUGCUUAGAUAUUACACAGAACACCGAUUGCGAAGGCAGCUUACUAAGCUAUGAUUGACGCUGAGGUACGAAAGCGUGGGGAGCGAACAGGAUUAGAUACCCUGGUAGUCC